Nannospalax galili (Upper Galilee mountains blind mole rat) is the source of this 131-nucleotide small nucleolar RNA. Lineage: Eukaryota; Metazoa; Chordata; Mammalia; Rodentia; Spalacidae. The record is from Ensembl.
UGUAGUCAGGUCAAAUUCAGUUCCAUCCUGCUGUGGGAGUUGGCCCAGAUGACUGCUGUAAGAGCUGUACUGCUCAUGGACCCUGGAUCCCUUGCCCUGGGACCUGGGAAUAAGUUUGGCUGCAAACAUUG